AGCGAACGCUGGCGGCGUGCCUAACACAUGCAAGUCGAGCGCGGGCAUUUUCGGGGGGUAACCCCGGGACUGUGCUGAGCGGCGGACGAGUGAGUAAUACGUGGACAACCUGCCUUAAAGCUUGGGAUAACUCCGGGAAACUGGAGCUAAUACCGGAUAAGACCACGGUGUCUAUGGAUGCUGAGGUAAAAGGCGGCCAGGAAACUGGCUGUUGCUUAAAGAUGGGUCCACGUCCCANCAGGUAGUUGGUGAGGUAAAGGCUCACCAAGCCAAA
This 274-nucleotide ribosomal RNA is filed under the name uncultured bacterium. Its description in RNAcentral is "partial 16S ribosomal RNA". It matches the Rfam family "Bacterial small subunit ribosomal RNA", at positions 29 to 277 of the family's 1533-position model. The record is from RNAcentral.